Molecule: ribosomal RNA, 490 nt
Filed under: uncultured bacterium
Lineage: Bacteria
Description: partial 16S ribosomal RNA
Rfam family: Bacterial small subunit ribosomal RNA
Source: RNAcentral
GAUGAACGCUAGCGAUAGGCUUAACACAUGCAAGUCGAGGGGCAGCAUGGUCUUAGCUUGCUAAGACUGAUGGCGACCGGCGCACGGGUGCGUAACGCGUAUGCAACUUGCCUCACAGAGGGGGAUAACCCGUCGAAAGACGGACUAAUACCGCGUACACUCCAUCUUGGGCAUCCAAGGUAGAGGAAAUGAACUUCGCUGUGAGAUAGGCAUGCGUCCCAUUAGCUAGUUGGUGAGGUAACGGCUCACCAAGGCGACGAUGGGUAGGGGAACUGAGAGGUUGAACCCCCACACUGGUACUGAGACACGGACCAGACUCCUACGGGAGGCAGCAGUGAGGAAUAUUGGUCAAUGGGCGAGAGCCUGAACCAGCCAAGUCGCGUGAAGGAUGACUGUCUUAUGGAUUGUAAACUUCUUUUAUACGGGAAUAACAAGAGUCACGUGUGACUCCCUGCAUGUACCGUAUGAAUAAGCAUCGGCUAACUCCGUG